RNAcentral lists this ribosomal RNA (474 nucleotides) under Crustacea environmental sample. RNAcentral describes it as "bacterial SSU rRNA". It matches the Rfam family "Eukaryotic small subunit ribosomal RNA", at positions 1140 to 1476 of the family's 1831-position model. Lineage: Eukaryota; Metazoa; Arthropoda. The record is from RNAcentral.
AAACUUAAAGGAAUUGACGGAAAGGCACCACCAGGCGUGGAGCUUGCGGCUCAAUUUGACUCAACACGGGAAAUCUCACCAGGCCCGGACACUGGAAGGAUUGACAGAUUGAUAGCUCUUUCUUGAUUCGGUGGGUGGUGGUGCAUGGCCGUUCUUAGUUGGUGGAGUGAUUUGUCUGGUUAAUUCCGAUAACGAACGAGACUCUCCCCUGCUAACGGACCUUAGUGUUUUUCUAGACGGUGUGAUUCGGAGCAAGAGUCCAUGGGCGUAAGCCCCGGUCUCGGACGAUGUCCACUGAUCCUUGGUGCGUUGGUGUUCCGCGUGCCAUCGGAGAGUCGAGUGUUCGCAUUCUUCGCCUCUGUGGAUUUCUCGGUUCAUUGACAAAGCGCCUCGGAGUACGUUUCUUCUUAGAGGGGUUGACGACUUAUAAGUCGUAAGAAACAGGGAGCAAUAACAGGUCUGUGAUGCCCUUAG